This 478-nucleotide ribosomal RNA is filed under the name uncultured bacterium. Its description in RNAcentral is "partial 16S ribosomal RNA". It matches the Rfam family "Bacterial small subunit ribosomal RNA", at positions 28 to 523 of the family's 1533-position model. The record is from RNAcentral.
GAUGAACGCUGACAGAAUGCUUAACACAUGCAAGUCUACUUGAAGCACUUUCGGGUGUGGAUGGUGGCGGACGGGUGAGUAACGCGUAAAGAACUUGCCCCUUAGUCUGGGACAACUGUUGGAAACGACAGCUAAUACUAGAUAUUAUGGAGUCUUGGCAUCAAGAUUUUAUGAAAGCUAUAUGCGCUAAGGGAGAGCUUUGCGUCCUAUUAGCUAGUUGGUGAGGUAACGGCUCACCAAGGCGACGAUAGGUAGCCGGCCUGAGAGGGUGAACGGCCACAAGGGGACUGAGACACGGCCCUUACUCCUACGGGAGGCAGCAGUGGGGAAUAUUGGACAAUGGACCAAAAGUCUGAUCCAGCAAUUCUGUGUGUUUGAUGAAGGCCUUCGGGUUGUAAAGAACUUUAAGUAGGGAAGAAGAAAGUGACGGUACCUACAGAAUAAGCGACGGCUAAAUACGUGCCAGCAGCCGCGGUAA